GUAGGCAUAGUUUAAAUAAAGCGUCAGAUUGUGAUUCUGAAGACUGAGGUUGAAAUCCUCCUGCCCACC
This 69-nucleotide transfer RNA is filed under the name Myctophum punctatum (spotted lanternfish). RNAcentral describes it as "tRNA-His". It matches the Rfam family "tRNA". Rfam says of the family: Transfer RNA (tRNA) molecules are approximately 80 nucleotides in length. Their secondary structure includes four short double-helical elements and three loops (D, anti-codon, and T loops). Lineage: Eukaryota; Metazoa; Chordata; Actinopteri; Myctophiformes; Myctophidae. The record is from RNAcentral.